RNAcentral lists this ribosomal RNA (880 nucleotides) under uncultured bacterium. RNAcentral's name for it is "bacterial SSU rRNA". It matches the Rfam family "Bacterial small subunit ribosomal RNA", at positions 99 to 975 of the family's 1533-position model. The record is from RNAcentral.
CGGACGGGUGAGUAACGCGUAUGCAACCUACCCUUGAGCGGGGGACAAUCACGGGAAACCGUGGCUAAUACCGCAUAAAAUCUCGGUUGCGCCUGCAACCGAGAUCAAAGCCUUCGGGCGCUCUUGGAUGGGCAUGCGUCGGAUUAGCUUGUUGGUGAGGUAGAAGCUCACCAAGGCAACGAUCCGUAGCUGGUCUGAGAGGAUGAUCAGCCACACUGGCACUGAGACACGGGCCAGACUCCUACGGGAGGCAGCAGUGGGGAAUCUUGCACAAUGGAGGAAACUCUGAUGCAGCCACGCCGCGUGGAGGAAGACACCCCUAUGGGGCGUAAACUCCUUUUCUGCCGGAAGAAAACCCUGGUCUCCAGGGCGUGACGGUACGGCAGGAAUAAGCACCGGCUAACUCCGUGCCAGCAGCCGCGGUAAUACGGAGGGUGCAAGCGUUGUCCGGAAUUACUGGGUGUAAAGGGUGCGCAGGCGGGGCAGCAAGUCAGAGGUGAAAGCCCACGGCUUAACCGUGGAAGUGCCUUUGAAACUGCUGUUCUUGAGUCCCGGAGAGGUCGUCGGAAUUCGUGGUGUAGCGGUGAAAUGCGUAGAUAUCACGAGGAACACCAGAGGCGAAAGCGGACGACUGGACAGGUACUGACGCUGAGGAGCGAAAGCGUGGGGAGCGAACAGGAUUAGAUACCCUGGUAGUCCACGCCGUAAACGGUGGGUGCUAGUUGUGGGCCACAUUCCACGUGGUCCGUGACGAAGUUAACACAUUAAGCACCCCGCCUGGGGAGUACGGUCGCAAGACUAAAACUCAAAGGAAUUGACGGGGGCCCGCACAAGCGGCGGAGCAUGCGGAUUAAUUCGAUGCAACGCGAAGAACCUUACC